Molecule: ribosomal RNA, 440 nt
Filed under: uncultured bacterium
Lineage: Bacteria
Description: partial 16S ribosomal RNA
Rfam family: Bacterial small subunit ribosomal RNA
Source: RNAcentral
CCUACGGGUGGCUGCAGUGGGGAAUAUUGCACAAUGGGGGAAACCCUGAUGCAGCAACGCCGCGUGAGUGAAGAAGUAUUUCGGUAUGUAAAGCUCUAUCAGCAGGGAAGAAGAUGACGGUACCUGAGUAAGAAGCACCGGCUAACUACGUGCCAGCAGCCGCGGUAAUACGUAGGGGGCAAGCGUUAUCCGGAUUUACUGGGUGUAAAGGGUGCGCAGGCGGGGAGACAAGUCUGAAGUGAAAGCCAGGGGCUCAACCUCGGGACUGCUUUGGAUACUGGCUAACUGGAGUGCUGGAGAGGCAAGCGGAAUUCCUAGUGUAGCGGUGAAAUGCGUAGAUAUUAGGAGGAACACCAGUGGCGAAGGCGGCUUGCUGGACAGUAACUGACGUUGAGGCUCGAAAGCGUGGGGAGCAAACAGGAUUAGAUACCCGAGUAGUC